RNAcentral lists this long non-coding RNA (213 nucleotides) under Phoenix dactylifera (date palm). RNAcentral describes it as "long non-coding RNA (PDAC_LNC009193)". The record is from RNAcentral. Lineage: Eukaryota; Viridiplantae; Streptophyta; Magnoliopsida; Arecales; Arecaceae.
UUGAUGUCAGUACUCUAGGGGAAGCUAAGAUGGAGCGCAAGCACACUGACAUCUAUAGUGAAAAAUCGCUAAUGAGAAUGGGGUUUGUUAAGGCAAAUAACAAGUGGGUUCAUAAAGAAAAAAAAGAGAAGAAGGAGCAUGAGAAGAGGCACAAAGGCUAGUAGAAUCAAGGCAGGCUAGUGCAUGACAUUCUCAGAGGAUACCUAGCACUAG